GUCCACGCUGUAAACGAUGGAUGCUAGAUGUUGCGGGUAUUGACCCCUGCGGCGUCGCAGCUAACGCAUUAAGCAUCCCGCCUGGGGAGUACGGCCGCAAGGCUAAAACUCAAAGGAAUUGACGGGGGCCCGCACAAGCGGUGGAGCAUGUGGUUUAAUUCGACGCAACGCGAAGAACCUUACCUGGGUUAAAUCCGCUGGAAUCCCGCAGAAACGUGGGAGUGCUCUUCGGAGAGCCAGCGAGACGGUGCUGCAUGGCUGUCGU
Molecule: ribosomal RNA, 265 nt
Filed under: uncultured bacterium
Lineage: Bacteria
Description: partial 16S ribosomal RNA
Rfam family: Bacterial small subunit ribosomal RNA
Source: RNAcentral